UUUGAGUGAAUCACGGCUAAGGAACUAGGCAAAAUAGACCUGUAACUUAGGGAGAAAGGUCGCCCUUCUAAUUUUAGUAAGAUAAUUUUAAGGCCGCAGUGAAGAGAUCCAGACGACUGUUUAACAAAAACAUAGGGCUCUGCUAAAUCGAAAGAUGAUGUAUAGGGUCUGAUACCUGCCCAGCGUUGGAAGGUUAAGGAAGUAAGUUAACUAUUGUGAAGCCUUCGACUGAAGCCCCAGCAAACGGCGGCUGUAACUAUAACGGUCCUAAGGUAGCGAAAUUCCUUGUCAGGUAAGUUCUGACCUGCACGAAUGGUUUAACGAUCUGGAUACUGUCUCGGCCGUGAGC
This 349-nucleotide ribosomal RNA is filed under the name Flavobacteriales endosymbiont of Epidiaspis leperii D060. Its description in RNAcentral is "bacterial LSU rRNA". It matches the Rfam family "Bacterial large subunit ribosomal RNA", at positions 1689 to 2032 of the family's 2925-position model. Lineage: Bacteria; Pseudomonadati; Bacteroidota; Flavobacteriia; Flavobacteriales. The record is from RNAcentral.